Molecule: ribosomal RNA, 460 nt
Filed under: uncultured bacterium
Lineage: Bacteria
Description: partial 16S ribosomal RNA
Rfam family: Bacterial small subunit ribosomal RNA
Source: RNAcentral
CCUACGGGUGGCAGCAGUGAGGAAUAUUGGUCAAUGGCCGAGAGCCUGAACCAGCCAAGUCGCGUGAAGGAUGAAGGUUCCAUGGUUUGUAAACUUCUUUUAUCAAGGAAUAAAGUGAGGAACGUGAUCCUUUCUGUAGGUACCAUAUGAAUAAGCAUCGGCUAACUCCGUGCCAGCAGCCGCGGUAAUACGGAGGAUGCGAGCGUUAUCCGGAUUUAUUGGGUUUAAAGGGUGCGUAGGCGGUUAAUUAAGUCAGCGGUGAAAGUUCGUGGCUCAACCAUAAAAGUGCCGUUGAAACUGGUUGACUUGAGAAUACUUGAGGUAGGCGGAAUGCGUGGUGUAGCGGUGAAAUGCAUAGAUAUCACGCAGAACUCCGAUUGCGAAGGCAGCUUACUAACCGAUAACUGACGCUGAAGCACGAAAGCGUGGGGAUCAAACAGGAUUAGAUACCCGUGUAGUC